RNAcentral lists this ribosomal RNA (496 nucleotides) under uncultured bacterium. Its description in RNAcentral is "partial 16S ribosomal RNA". It matches the Rfam family "Bacterial small subunit ribosomal RNA", at positions 28 to 507 of the family's 1533-position model. The record is from RNAcentral.
GACGAACGCUGGCGGCGUGCCUAAUACAUGCUAGUUGAGCGCUGAAGGUUGGUACUUGUACCAACUGGAUGAGCAGCGAACGGGUGAGUAACGCGUGGGGAAUCUGCCUUUGAGCGGGGGACAACAUUUGGAAACGAAUGCUAAUACCGCAUAAAAACUUUAAACACAAGUUUUAAGUUUGAAGAUGCAAUUGCAUCACUCAAAGAUGAUCCCGCGUUGUAUUAGCUAGUUGGUGAGGUAAAGGCUCACCAAGGCGAGGAUACAUAGCCGACCUGAGAGGGUGAUCGGCCACAUUGGGACUGGGACACGGCCCAAACUCCUACGGGAGGCAGCAGUAGGGAAUCUUCGGCAAUGGACGAAAGUCUGACCGAGCAACGCCGCGUGAGUGAAGAAGGGUUUCGGAUCGUAAAACUCGGUUGGUAGAGAAGAACGUUGGUGAGAGUGGAAAGCUCAUCAAGUGACGGUAACUACCCAGAAAGGGACGGCUAACUACGUG